This 826-nucleotide long non-coding RNA is filed under the name Vigna radiata. RNAcentral describes it as "long non-coding RNA (VRAD_LNC013907)". The record is from RNAcentral. Lineage: Eukaryota; Viridiplantae; Streptophyta; Magnoliopsida; Fabales; Fabaceae.
GCAUCGUUCCUUCUGGUUGCUUUUCUUAUGUUCAUACUCAAAUUUACUUCCCAGUACAAUUUGAAUAUAUUAAAUAUAUUAUACUUCCGUAUAAUCACAAGUAAAACAAGAAAANCAUAUGAACAGAACUUAUAUUGAACAGGAAAAAUUACAUCAAGUGUCAGCCAUUACAAUCAAUUCCAACGAACAAAAAUUUAGCCUAUCCUAGACAUCACAAACGUACUCAUUUCAGCAAUUCCUUGCAUCAUGUGUAGUCUUGAUGUCUUCAGAGAGUCUUCUAAUGGUCUUCUGAGGGUAUCUAGAGCAGUUCUCUAUUUUUUUCUUAUGUCCGAAGAUCCCUCUGNCUGUCUCUCACGUCUCUUUAAGAACCAGUUAAUUUUCAUUAACUUUCACCAUUCGCUCAACGCACAGAGGCAGAUUCGNUGUGCGAAUUUCAUUUUCUUGUUGCUCUUCAACUGCUGCCAUUCGCUUAGCGCACAUAGUCUGGUGCGCCCUGCGGAUUUUAAAUUUGUAUUAUGUAGCAAUUCGCUAAGCGCACAUUAUUUGGUGCGCUAUGCGAAUAUUAAAUUUCUGCCCUCUUUUCUGAAAUAAUUCGCUCAGGGCACAGUAUGGGUGCGCUCUGCGAAUUUUGUUUUCCUGACUCUUCUAAUUUGCUUGCGCUCUGCNAGAAUUGGCUGACAGCUUCCCAUUUAUACAUCUUUUCCUGAANAAUUAUUUUUUGUAACAAUCUACUUCCUAUUACAACUUUUCACUGAGUAAAAACAUAAAUAAUUACAAGAUUGAGAUAAUUUAUAAAUGUAAAAACAACUGUUUUUCACACUUAUCA